Molecule: ribosomal RNA, 468 nt
Filed under: uncultured bacterium
Lineage: Bacteria
Description: partial 16S ribosomal RNA
Rfam family: Bacterial small subunit ribosomal RNA
Source: RNAcentral
GACGAACGCUGGCGGCGUGCUUAACACAUGCAAGUCGAACGGAAAGGCCCUGCUUUUGUGGGGUGCUCGAGUGGCGAACGGGUGAGUAACACGUGAGUAACCUGCCCUUGACUUUGGGAUAACUUCAGGAAACUGGGGCUAAUACCGGAUAGGAGCUCCUGCUGCAUGGUGGGGGUUGGAAAGUUUCGGCGGUUGGGGAUGGACUCGCGGCUUAUGAGCUUGUUGGUGGGGUAGUGGCUUACCAAGGCUUUGACGGGUAGCCGGCCUGAGAGGGUGACCGGCCACAGUGGGACUGAGAUACGGCCCAGACUCCUACGGGAGGAAGCAGUUGGGAAUAUUGCACAAUGGGCGGAAGCCUGAUGCAGCAACGCCGCUUGCGGGAUGACGGCCUUCGGGUUGUAAACCGCUUUCGCCUGUGACGAAGCGUGGGUGACGGUAAUGGGUAAAGAAGCACCGGCUAACUACGUG